GAUGAACGCUGGCGGCGUGCCUAAUACAUGCAAGUCGAGCGAACGGACGAGAAGCUUGCUUCUCUGAUGUUAGCGGCGGACGGGUGAGUAACACGUGGAUAACCUACCUAUAAGACUGGGAUAACUUCGGGAAACCGGAGCUAAUACCGGAUAAUAUUUUGAACCGCAUGGUUCAAAAGUGAAAGACGGUCUUGCUGUCACUUAUAGAUGGAUCCGCGCUGCAUUAGCUAGUUGGUAAGGUAACGGCUUACCAAGGCAACGAUGCAUAGCCGACCUGAGAGGGUGAUCGGCCACACUGGAACUGAGACACGGUCCAGACUCCUAAGGGAGGCAGAAGUAGGGAAUCUUCCGCAAUGGGCGAAAGCCUGACGGAGCAACGCCGCGUGAGUGAUGAAGUUCUUCGGAUCGUAAAACUCUGUUAUUAGGGAAGAACAUAUGUGUAAGUAACUGUGCACAUCUUGACGGUACCUAAUCAGAAAGCCACGGCUAACUAAGUG
RNAcentral lists this ribosomal RNA (497 nucleotides) under uncultured bacterium. RNAcentral describes it as "partial 16S ribosomal RNA". It matches the Rfam family "Bacterial small subunit ribosomal RNA", at positions 28 to 507 of the family's 1533-position model. The record is from RNAcentral.